UUUUAUGAUGAGUCGCUUUACACAUGCAUGGCUUUCUGAAGUCCCGUGACAAGGACUCCUUGUUGAUAGACAGCAACUUCUCUGAUC
RNAcentral lists this small nucleolar RNA (87 nucleotides) under Neurospora crassa. RNAcentral describes it as "box C/D snoRNA CD4". The record is from RNAcentral. Lineage: Eukaryota; Fungi; Ascomycota; Sordariomycetes; Sordariales; Sordariaceae.